GCGGAUUAAUUUGCAAAAAAAAACCACAUUGAGGGUUUUUUUGCAGAAAACCUUUUUUUCACUGAUAUUUUAUUAGAUAGAUUUAAACAUACACAUAAACCGUAAAGACAGGUUUACAACCCCACAACUAAAAAACUAGACAACGAUGCCCACUAAUGGCACAAACUACCACCCGAGACCAAAAGAAAAAAAUUAAAAGUCACCGACACGUGUUAAAUCAAGCCAAGGGAGAGAGACACGGGCUAUACGCGUCACCACCAUCUUCACCGUUUGACCACCGUCGCCGAAUCGACCAAAUCGAACCACCGCCGGAAUCCACCGGGAAACAGAACCACAACCCACGAUUCCACUCCAACAAGUUUCACUUCCUCAAGUUUCUCUUUUUUCCCUCUCAAAAUGCUUCUAUUUAUGGAAUCACAUGUUAUGCACUAUUUUAAUAUCAAAAUGUUUAUAUAUAUGGUGGCCAAAGAAAAAGAGUCCGUGUAUAUGCUUUGCAAAUCAAACGACACUAAUAGUCAAAACCUUUCUCUCUGGCGAUAGAACAUCGACCGCUGCUGAUUGAAGAAGACGACAGGUGGUCUCCGCCGGCCGGCGCGUGGUGGUUUGGUUAGCGCCACCGUCGGUCCGGUAAGUUUAGUUUGCUUAGUAUUUUGUAGAUCUGGUGUUUAAUCCGUCUUAACUGCGGCUCGGGGUAAAGUAGAAGGGAACGACUCGGACACCUCUUGCUUUGUCGGGGUCUUGUGCGGAUCCUUACGGUGGUAGGUGGUUGCAGCCCGUGUGGUUGGUGACAGCGGAGGUCUCUGCUGGUUCGUGGUUCAGAUCCUUUUUGCUUAAUUCGGGUUGGAGAUUCAUAAGGCCUGGGCUUUGUAGUGGUCUUUGCAGUGGUUUUAGGAUGGUGGUGUGGGUCCGACACUGGUGAAGAGAUACAAUUUCUGAUUGCUUGAAGAAUCUCUUGUUUGCGGUUCUUCGGUUAGGGUUUUGCUUUGUUAGUUCUUAUGGGGUUUGGGAUGUGGCUUGACCAGUGGUGGCUCUAGUCUUCGGUGGAGGUAGAAACAUCUUAUGGUUCUCAGAGGAGGUGCGUGUUUGGCUUGGAAGGAGAUAGAUGUAUAUCGGAGCGAUUGCUUCAUUGUGGGUCGAUUGUCGCCGUCUUGAUCGUGAUUGUCAUGGAUUUGGAGUGGUUAUUAUCCAGUUACCGGCUGCGUGAAUAAGACGUUUCCGGGAAACCUUUAUAGGCUUUGCCGUGGGGUGAUGGUGCGUAUGAGGCGCGGGGAGAGCACACUCAAGGUCCAAUGGAGAGACUUAGUUGGGAUUGAAGGGUGUUUACAGCGACGGUUAAGGAUUCUAACCUCUCUCGAUUCAGUUUAUAUGUUUGGUGAUGUUCGUGUGCGUCUAGUCUAUCUCGCUGCUCUGCUAAUUUUGUGUUAAUUGUUGAUGAGUUCUAUUUCGGUAAGCUCGUCUUUGAGCGCAAGGUGGAGCUCUCCUCUACUGAAGUUCUGUUUUACUCUACUGCCUCUUGACAUUUUUUUUUCUUCGUGUCUUUGUUAGUUUUUAUGGGUUUGUGUUGUAUCCAUCUUUUGGCUCCGAGUGGUACAUGUUACCUCGCCGGCUUAUGGCUCUGGAAGGAAUGUAUUCCUUGCCGGCUCUGGUUUGUAAGAAAUGAUGUUUUUGUGUUUAAUAUAAUCUACGGAUGAAAAAAAAAUAUAUAUAUGCAAAAAUAUAUGCUUUGCAAUAUUAUAUAUACAUUUGUGUCAGUGCCCUCAUGUGCACAUGUAUGCUUCAACUUUACACCACAA
This 1793-nucleotide long non-coding RNA is filed under the name Brassica napus (rape). RNAcentral describes it as "long non-coding RNA (BNAP_LNC009212)". Lineage: Eukaryota; Viridiplantae; Streptophyta; Magnoliopsida; Brassicales; Brassicaceae. The record is from RNAcentral.